GAUGAACGCUGGCGGCGUGCCUAAUACAUGCAAGUCGAGCGAACAGAUAAGGAGCUUGCUCCUUUGACGUUAGCGGCGGACGGGUGAGUAACACGUGGGUAACCUACCUAUAAGACUGGGAUAACUUCGGGAAACCGGAGCUAAUACCGGAUAACAUUUGGAACCGCAUGGUUCUAAAGUGAAAGAUGGUUUUGCUAUCACUUAUAGAUGGACCCGCGCCGUAUUAGCUAGUUGGUAAGGUAACGGCUUACCAAGGCAACGAUACGUAGCCGACCUGAGAGGGUGAUCGGCCACACUGGAACUGAGACACGGUCCAGACUCCUACGGGAGGCAGCAGUAGGGAAUCUUCCGCAAUGGGCGAAAGCCUGACGGAGCAACGCCGCGUGAGUGAUGAAGGGUUUCGGCUCGUAAAACUCUGUUAUUAGGGAAGAACAAAUGUGUAAGUAGCUGUGCACGUCUUGACGGUACCUAAUCAGAAAGCCACGGCUAACUACGUG
This 497-nucleotide ribosomal RNA is filed under the name uncultured bacterium. Its description in RNAcentral is "partial 16S ribosomal RNA". It matches the Rfam family "Bacterial small subunit ribosomal RNA", at positions 28 to 507 of the family's 1533-position model. The record is from RNAcentral.